Molecule: transfer RNA, 73 nt
Filed under: Bacteriophage sp.
Description: tRNA-Met
Rfam family: tRNA
About the family: Transfer RNA (tRNA) molecules are approximately 80 nucleotides in length. Their secondary structure includes four short double-helical elements and three loops (D, anti-codon, and T loops).
Source: RNAcentral
GGUAGCUUAAUAGGUAAAAGCGACCGGCUCAUAACCGGAGGACAGUUGGGUUCAAAUCCCGAAAGAGCCACCA